This 246-nucleotide ribosomal RNA is filed under the name uncultured bacterium. RNAcentral describes it as "partial 16S ribosomal RNA". It matches the Rfam family "Bacterial small subunit ribosomal RNA", at positions 524 to 776 of the family's 1533-position model. The record is from RNAcentral.
UACGGAGGGUGCAAGCGUUAUCCGGAUUCACUGGGUUUAAAGGGUGCGUAGGUGGGUUGGUAAGUCAGUGGUGAAAGCCCCGGGCUCAACCUGGGAAUGGCGAUGGAUACUGGCUCGCUGGAGUGCGGCAGAGGGGAUGGAAUUCCGCGUGUAGCAGUGAAUGCGUAGAUAUGCGGAGGAACACCGAUGGCGAAGGCAAUCCCUGGCCUGCACUGACGCUCAUGCACGAAGCGUGGGAGCAACAGG